Molecule: long non-coding RNA, 1032 nt
Filed under: Anolis carolinensis (green anole)
Lineage: Eukaryota; Metazoa; Chordata; Lepidosauria; Squamata; Anolidae
Description: lncRNA (ENSACAG00000039847.1)
Source: RNAcentral
AUGCAACGCCUCUCUCUUCUCUCUCGGCUGUCGUUCUUUACCCCCUUUAUGCGAGUUUGCACCGAAGCCUCCUUUGGGCGGCGGCCCCUCUUUCUUCCUGUCUGGGAAUCGUGCCGGCCAACGGUGGCCGGCCUAGUAUUUUAUAGUGUGGGCCUUUUUGGCGGUGGCUUUUUCUGUCUUUUCUUUGGUCUUUGCUGCCUCUCGGCCUACGUGGCCGAGUUUCCCCCGAUGCACCGCCUCUCUCUUCUCUCUCGGCUGUCGUUCUUUACCCCUUUAUGCGAGUUUGCACCGAAGCCUCCUUUGGGGCGGCGGCCCCUCUUUCUUCCUGUCUGGGAAUCGUGCCGGCCAACGGUGGCCGGCCUAGUAUUUUAUAGUGUGGGCCUUUUUGGCGGUGGCUUUUUCUGUCUUUUCUUUGGUCUUUGCUGCCUCUCGGCCUACGUGGCCGAGUUUCCCCGAUGUACCGCCUCUCUCUUCUCUCGCCGGCUGUCGUUCUUUAGCCCUUUAUGCUAUUUUGCACAGAAGCCUCCUUUGGGGCGGUGUCCUCUGGUUUUUUUUCUCUCUCUCUCUCUCUCUCAGGGAUGCGUGCCGGCAAACAGUGGCCGGCCCGGCUUAAUGUAUGGGCCUUGUCGCCUGUGGCUUUUUUCUUUCUUUUCUUUUCUUUUCUUUUCUUUUUGCUGCCUCUCGGCCUACGUGGUCGGGUUUCCCACGAUGCACCGCCUCUCUCUUCUCUCGCCGGCUGUCGUUCUUUACCCCUUUAUGCGAUUUUGCACAGAAGCCUCCUUUGGGGCGGCGGCCCCUCUUUCUUCCUCACAGGGAAGCGUGCCGGCCAACGGUCGCACGCCUAGUAUUUCAACGUGUGGGCCUUGUCGUCCUACGUGGUCGACGUGUUUCCCACGAUGCACCGCCUCUGUCUUCUCUCGCGGCUGUCGUUCUUUACCCCUUGGUGCAAUCUUGCACAGAACCCUUCUUUGGGGCGGCGGCCUCUAUUUCUUCCAGUCAGGGAAGCUUGCCGGCCAACGAUGGCCGGCCUAG